Long non-coding RNA from Myotis lucifugus (little brown bat), 1257 nucleotides. RefSeq lists it as uncharacterized. NCBI's taxonomy places the organism in Eukaryota, Metazoa, Chordata, Mammalia, Chiroptera, Vespertilionidae. The record is from RefSeq and is a predicted model, not a curated record. The transcript has 3 exons.
CUUGGGCUGGUGGGGUUGGCCGUCGCCGGGGCCCUGCUGCCCGUCGGGGCGCGUCCUGGGCGGGCUCCGUGCAGCCCCGAGCUGGGGGCUGGCGUCCCCGACCCCGGAGACGGGAGGCCCGUCCCGGCCGAGCUUCCCCGAGAAGCGCCGCCGCCUCCGUAGGUAGCGAGCCUCCCGCCCAUCCGCGGACAAGGACCGGCGCUCCCGGGUCCUGGGGUCCCGGCACCCGGUGGUUUUGGGGGUCAGUCCUGCCCGAUGGCGCUGAGAGGGGCACGUGGGGUGUUGUGUUUUUGGAAACGCAGAGGAGCGAGCAAGCUGCCUGGCCUGUAGCCCUUCCCCCCGGCCAAGGAGAUGACCAACCAGUACAGCAUCCUCUUCAAGCAAGAGCAAGGUGAGCCGCCUGCCUGGGAAAACGGGUCGUCUCUGGUUCCUUUAGGAAAUUGUUGUCGUGCCGACCAGACAUGCCGUCCCCAGGUUACUCCCUGCAGGGAAGUCAGCAGAGGCGGCCGGACACAGACACUGAAAAGCAAACAGCGAGGCAGACAAAGGAGGCAGAUAGGCCGGAGGGCUUCCCCGCUGCCGGGGUGGCCCCCACGAGGGGGUGGCCCCCAGAGGCCGCUGCACACGGGCCCGAGGGCGACUCCCGUUAACAGAGAGGUCGGCUUUGAGUCCAGCUCUGCCCCUUCUUAGCUUUGGAGUUCCAGGGAGCUACUAGUCUCUCUUUUUAAAAGAUAUUUUAAAAAUCGAUUGGAGAGAGAGAGAGAGAGGAAGGGAGGGUAGAGAAGCCUCCACUGGCUGCCUCCUGCACGUCCCUACGCAGGACGAGUCCUCAGUCCAGGAAUCCAUCCAGUGACCUGGUUCAUGGGUUGAUUUGUACCCACUCAGCACCCCUGCCCCCGCCCCCCGGCCGGCACUGCAGGCUCCUCUGGGCCUCUGACUCCUUGUCUGUAACGUGAGGUGCCGCUCACAGCGCCUGCUCUGUGGGGUUGUGGUGGCGACAAAUGGAGGUGACACUUCCAGGGGGAUUAGUGCAGUCGCCAGCCCCUGACGCAGACCACACGUGCGGCCCAGGCAGCUUGUGGGGCCGCAUCAGGCACGCGCUCUGGGGCCUCGCUGUUGGCAGUCACUGCCCGCCGGCUCCCAGAGGUGCUGGGAGGCAGCGCUCGCCCAGCUGAGGGCUCUAGGGCCGUGGGCGGUGGGCGGUGGGGAGGCUCGUCUCCAUCGGGUGGUGGUAGCGCCUCCCCCUGGCCGGCCUGU